RNAcentral lists this unclassified non-coding RNA (376 nucleotides) under uncultured bacterium. Its description in RNAcentral is "contains 16S-23S intergenic spacer region". The record is from RNAcentral.
UCCGAGUUGACCCCGGCAGCCUCCCAUGAGUCCCCGCCAUAACGCGCUGGCAACAUGGAACGAGGGUUGCGCUCGUUGCGGGACUUAACCCAACAUCUCACGGCACGAGCUGACGACAGCCAUGCAGCACCUGUCAGGGGCCCUUACGGACCUUGCAUCUCUGCAAGUUUUCCCCUGAUGCCAAGCCCAGGUAAGGUUCUUCGCGUUGCAUCGAAUUAAGCCACAUGCUCCGCCGCUUGUGCGGGUCCCCGUCAAUUCCUUUGAGUUUCAGCCUUGCGGCCGUACUCCCCAGGCGGGGCACUUAAUGCGUUAGCUACGGCGCCGGGGGAGUCGACACCCCCAACACCUAGUGCCCAUCGUUUACGGCGUGGACUAC